UUGCUUUGGUGGCAUACAUACUAAAAUUGGAACAAUAUGGAGAAGGUUAACAUGAUCCUUGAGCAAGGAUGACACACAAUUUGUGACACGUGCCAUAUUUCU
Choloepus hoffmanni (Hoffmann's two-fingered sloth) is the source of this 102-nucleotide small nuclear RNA. Lineage: Eukaryota; Metazoa; Chordata; Mammalia; Pilosa; Megalonychidae. The record is from Ensembl.